Molecule: non-coding RNA, 31 nt
Filed under: Mus musculus (house mouse)
Lineage: Eukaryota; Metazoa; Chordata; Mammalia; Rodentia; Muridae
Source: RNAcentral
GGGGGCCCGAGGUGGGAUCCCGAGGCCUCUC